AUGGAAAACAGAGAAAGUGGGCAGGAGAGGCCGCGAUGGAAAAACAAACUGGUUUUCAGUGACGGUGAGGUUGUUAGUGCUGAGCUGCUGCCGGUAUUGGAAGGAGACAAACCAGUGCUUGAAGCAGGGACCUCUGGAGCCCUCGUCUCCUGGAAAGCAAGCUUUAACGAGCCGGGGGGCGAGCGGGGAGGAGAAGCUGCAGCGACAGCAGCAGCGAGCAUCCCGCCCAGGGAGGCGUGCAAGCUGCUGCACGGCCCCGCAACCAGCCAAGAGCAGAGCGAGCCAAGGCGCCAGCCCGGGAGCCAAGAGCAGCUCCAGCUGCCGCUUUUGGGGAAGGAGGAGGAGGAGGAGGAGGAGAGGGGGGGGACGGACUCGGCGACUUCGCCGCGCUUGGCACUCGAGCCCGACAGCCCGGCCAAGCGUGCCCCUGGAGUGCCCGUAGCGGAGCAGCGAGUGACACACAUUCCCUGGGGAGAUAUUUCCACUUUUUUAUGAUUCUUCAGGCUUCUGUGACAUUUCCCAAGUCCAGUUGUUGGAGCCUUAGGUUCAAGCCUCUACACCACCCUGGACAAUAUCCCAGCAGAGGUAAUUUGGCCCUUCAACCUUCAGCAGUGAAUACAUUGACUUCAUGGUGUGCACAGUGUGGGAGUGGGAUUCUUGCGCAAAACCCUAAAACCCACGGUGGAAACCUGUCAUUGAGUGCUCAGUGACACCACAUUCAGCAUUUUUCA
This 731-nucleotide long non-coding RNA is filed under the name Anas platyrhynchos platyrhynchos (common mallard). RNAcentral's name for it is "lncRNA (ENSAPLG00000019629.1)". The record is from RNAcentral. Lineage: Eukaryota; Metazoa; Chordata; Aves; Anseriformes; Anatidae.